Molecule: ribosomal RNA, 811 nt
Filed under: uncultured bacterium
Lineage: Bacteria
Description: bacterial SSU rRNA
Rfam family: Bacterial small subunit ribosomal RNA
Source: RNAcentral
AGAGUUUGAUCCUGGCUCAGAACGAACGCUGGCGGCGUGCCUAACACAUGCAAGUCGAACGAGAAAGUCCCUUCGGGGAUGAGUAAAGUGGCGAACGGGUGAGUAACGCGUGGGUAAUCUACCUUCUGGAGGGGGAUAACCUGCCGAAAGGCGGGCUAAUACCGCAUAAAGUGACUGGUCCAUAUGAGCCGGUUACCAAAGACGGCCUCUGCUUGCAAGCUGUCACCGGAAGAUGAGCCCGCGUCCCAUUAGCUAGUUGGCGGGAUAACAGCCCACCAAGGCUACGAUGGGUAGCCGACCUGAGAGGGUGAUCGGCCACACUGGGACUGAGACACGGCCCAGACUCCUACGGGAGGCAGCAGUGGGGAAUAUUGCGCAAUGGGCGAAAGCCUGACGCAGCAACGCCGCGUGAGUGAUGAAGGCCUUCGGGUCGUAAAGCUCUGUCGCAGGGAACGAAAACCACUAUUUGAAUAGGGUAGUGGGAUGACGGUACCUUGCAAGAAAGCCCCGGCCAACUCCGUGCCAGCAGCCGCGGUAAGACGGAGGGGGCGAGCGUUGUUCGGAAUUACUGGGCGUAAAGGGCGCGCAGGCGGUCAUGCAAGUCGGUGGUGAAAGCCCACGGCUUAACCGUGGAAUUGCCUUCGAAACUGCAUGACUUGAGUACGGAAGAGGAGAGCGGAAUUCCCAGUGUAGCGGUGAAAUGCGUAGAUAUUGGGAGGAACACCAGUGGCGAAGGCGGCUCUCUGGUCCGAUACUGACGCUGAGGCGCGAAAGCCAGGGGAGCAAACGGGAUUAGAUACCCUGGUAGUCC